This 32-nucleotide non-coding RNA is filed under the name Bombyx mori (domestic silkworm). Lineage: Eukaryota; Metazoa; Arthropoda; Insecta; Lepidoptera; Bombycidae. The record is from RNAcentral. RNAcentral also lists the same sequence under 1 other name.
GCCCGGAUAGCUCAGUCGGUAGAGCAUUGGAC